GUGCAACCAAAUAAAUAAAUAAAUAUAUUUUUAAAAAAAUCUAUUUUCCCCAUGGGGGCCCGGUGUGCAAUGGCUGCAAACAGCAGCCUCCUCGGUAGUGUAUUCAGCCUGUUGCCUGUAUGGGUUGCCCUAAGGGACCCUGGAGACAGCC
This 151-nucleotide small nucleolar RNA is filed under the name Physeter macrocephalus (sperm whale). Its description in RNAcentral is "Physeter catodon (sperm whale) Small nucleolar RNA SNORA70 (ENSPCTG00005005677.1)". It matches the Rfam family "Small nucleolar RNA SNORA70". From Rfam's summary of the family: snoRNA U70 seems to be exclusive to mammals and is a member of the H/ACA class of snoRNA which contain H (ANANNA) and ACA box motifs. H/ACA box snoRNAs are involved in the conversion of uridines to pseudouridines (5-ribosyluracil) a constituent of structural RNAs (transfer, ribosomal, small nuclear, and small nucleolar). Lineage: Eukaryota; Metazoa; Chordata; Mammalia; Artiodactyla; Physeteridae. The record is from Rfam by way of RNAcentral.